UCCCUGGUGGCUCAGAUGGUAAAGCGUCUACCUCCAGUGCGGGAGACCCAGGUUCAAUCCCUGGGUUGGGAA
Molecule: transfer RNA, 72 nt
Filed under: Ovis aries (sheep)
Lineage: Eukaryota; Metazoa; Chordata; Mammalia; Artiodactyla; Bovidae
Rfam family: tRNA
About the family: Transfer RNA (tRNA) molecules are approximately 80 nucleotides in length.
Source: Rfam by way of RNAcentral